GCCUCACGCUUUAUGCAGAUAAGGGAUGACGCAGGCACAGGCCUGCGCGCUACCCGCUUUACGUAGAUGAGGGAUGACGCAGGCACAGGCCUGCGCGCCGCACGCUUUACCUAGAUGAGGGAUGGCGCAGGUACAGGCCUGCGUGCCUCACGUUUUAUGUACAUGAGGGAUGACGCAGGCACAGGAAUUGGCACAACCUGAAGUCAGCUCUGCAGCUUUCCAAGCUUCGUUCUGCGUGUCCUGUACUCAACAGUCAUCUCAUGCUGCAGGGUGGCUGCGUGUGCUCCGUACAUCACACCCAUAUUUCAGGGAGAAGACUGCACAUAUAACGCAGCUCUGCAUGGAAAGCCUUCCGCCUGGAGGUGAGCCUUCCUAGAGGUGUGGCUUUGCCCUCUGUCUUGAACAGGCUGUGAGCCGUUUUGUCAUUUGGGGUUUCUAGAUGCAAACAGCAGAAGCUGCUGGCCAAUCACCAAACGGAACGUGCUGUUAGGAUAUCAGGGCCCGGGAGCUGCAGCAAUGUGGGCUGACAGCAGAGAGCUAAGGCACUUUCUGAGGUGAGGAGCUGGGCUGCUAUGCCGGAGACGGCUGGGCAGAAGCAGUUAGCGGGGCGUUUCCUUGUGUCCUUAGUUCAAGAGUCGCAGUUUCAGGAGUGAGCAUCUCAGAGGUCAGGGUUCAUUCACAUGCCACCUCCCUUCUCACUGUGUCAUUGGGGAGGGGCGCAUCUGGACCCUCUGGCUCCUGUGGCAAGAAAUGGUCCCAUCAAGUCAUCCAAGGGCCUGGAAGGCUCCCAAGGAAAGCAGGAGGGGUGGGUGCUGAGCAGCGUCCAGCAGCAAAGGUAGGCUCCAGCCCCGCAGGUGUGGCUGCGCCAUCCCAGGGAACGUGCCCCAGUAAAUGCUGGUGCUGUUCUCAUUACAGGUGGGGUUGGUUUCACUGGACAGGUGGCGCUUCCUCACCUCUUGCCCUCUGGACCCACGGCAGGCACUUUCCAGGGCAGAUCACGUGGGCAUGCGGUCUGGCUGCUGGGUCCACGCGGGUUCUCAAUUGUGACCUGGCUUGCAAGCUGUUUCCACAGUCGGAUAAAUGAAGCAGUUGGGGAAGUAUCCGCAAACUCUUACAAUGAGUGUGUGAUAAUGACACACGCGUGGCCCUUCUAAGACCUCCUAGGCAUUCUCAGUGACUGUGCUCAUGAGCGCCGACCUCUGCUAGGCGAUAUCAGGGACUGUGCUCAUGAGUGCAGACCUCCGCUAGUGUUAUCAGUGACUAUGCUUGUGAGCGCGGACCUCUGCUAGGCGAUGUCAGUGAUUGUGCUCAUGAGCACGGACCUCCGCUAGGCAUUAGCAGUGACUGUGCUCAUGAGCGCGGACUUUCGCCAGCCACGCUUCCGAGGAGUGGGGUCUUUCUCAGCUCUGCCUCUCCCAGGUGACCAUAUUGUGAAGACGAUGCAUUCUUUAUACACAAGUUCUGUGUGUGUGUGUGUGUGUUUGUGUGUGUGUGUUCCACACACAGGACCAAAGUUGAGAUAGGCGCACAUUUUCUUGGUCCCACUGGUGGCCCCAGUCGGCUGUCAGAAGUGGGCGUGCUCCACAUGUACCCACCAUGUCAGGGCACAGUGCUCACAUUUCACACCUCAGCAGGUGCCUUGAUGUUGACCAGAGGCCCCAAAAUCGUCUCUUUCUGUGACUUCCAGAUCUUAGAUUCCCAGGAACCGGGAAACGCAGUUAGUAUCUUUUGGGUCCAAGAAACUUUGUCAGAGCCCUUGUGGGAGAACCAUAGAUUCUCACUGGAUAAACAGAGGAGCUUCGUGUUAGAGAAACCGCCUGUCUCCCCACAUUCUCAGGUUUCUGGAGAGCAGCUGAAAGCCAUCUGGGUGGAGGUUAAGAGCUCCAACUGUGUAGCUUUUAUGUAUCGGGCAAGUUGCUUAAGCUCUUUAAUGCUGUUUCCUCAUUUAUUGUGUGAGGCCAAAAAUACCCAUUCCUUAAAGUUGUGAGGAUUAAAAACAGUAAUGAAAAGUGAGUGGCAAGUGCCGAGUACAUAGUCAAGUACCUGGUACUUUUUAGUGUAAGGUAAGUAGCAAGAAAGCAUGAAACUUAUUUCCAUUUACUCUUACUACAUGCGGUAAACCAUCUAUGCACAGAGCACUGCAUUGGGUGCCAUGAAUGACAGAAUAAGAGUAACAGGUGCAUGAAAAGCUUAAAAGACAAAUGAGACAGAGCUAGGUUGCAGAAGACUUAAAAAGUUUAUGUAUUUAACUUUUAAUGGACACACUGUACAUGUUUAUGGGGUACGAUUUGUUGUUCCCAUGCAUAUCUGUGUUGUGUAAUGAUCCAAUCAGGGUAGUGUGCAUGCCCGUUUCCUCAAGGGUGGAUCAUUAUGCGUAUCAUCAUGCAUCAUCAUGUAUCAUGCAUGUACCAUCAUCAUGCAUCAUUAUGCAUCAUCAUGCCUGUAUCAUUAUGUAUCACCUCAUGCAUAUAUUAUAAUGUAUCACCUC
RNAcentral lists this long non-coding RNA (2488 nucleotides) under Pongo abelii (Sumatran orangutan). RNAcentral describes it as "lincRNA". The record is from RNAcentral. Lineage: Eukaryota; Metazoa; Chordata; Mammalia; Primates; Hominidae.